CUAAGGUACCAGGAGUGAAGCACGGUGUACAAAUGAAAUGCAGAAACAAAACCCUAACCCUUCUUAAACCUUAUAAAAACAUUGCUUCCACUUUCUACAAAAUGUAUGCGGCAAUUCCGUAAUUGUGUGCGGGAAGGGGGAGAUAGUGCUUACGUAAGCCCUAGCCCACUGCCCCUGAUCCUGUUCAAGCCCCGUCAAGUGAGCAACAGCAGAGAAACUCAGCAAUGGCGAAGAAGCAAUCUGAAAACUCGGUCCAAUUAAAGCCUAACCACAAAUCUCUAUUGGCCUAUCCAUCGCUUUCUGGAUCGAAAAUAGUGGCUUUUCUAUAGCUCUCGAACACUUUAUCUCCGAAGCUCAAAUUCAGGUGUAUGCAAUUUAUCUAUUUAUUAUUUAUUUUUCACGGGUGAAUAUAAAUGCUAAUGAAUAAGAAAACGAAAAAGUUUAAGUUGGAUACACUGUUAAAGAUAUGUUAUACUGAAUUGGUGGUUGUACUCUGUUCACGUGUAUUCAUGAACUUUUUCCCUGGAGUGCUGGUAAAAUAUUAUAUAUCUUUCUGAGUUCGUAACUGUAACAAGAGAAGAAAUGGAAUGGAAAAAUUGAAAAUUUUCUGGGGACUGCCAAUGGACUUUCGGGAGUAAACUUCUAGAUAUCCAUAAAAUUUCCUGCUUGUUCCCGAAAACAUUGACAAAGAUGAAGUAACUUUGAUUUUGCUAUAUGUUUGCCUAAUUAUACAUGCAUAUCAGUAGCAAUUUAGGCUAUUGGCGUUGAAUAGUUUUAAACAUGAAGGCUGGUGAAAAGUGUGGAGAAAUAAGAGCAAGAGAGAAAAUGCAGUUUUGAUCGUCAUCCAUAUUAUUCAGUGUUACACUCUUGCAGUUUUUUCAUCGGGACAUAGCGCUGUAAAUUCUAGGUCAGGAUGACGAUUGGAAGGCUAGGACGCUUAAUUUAGAGGAUGUAUUCUCCAAGUAUUUGGAAAUCUGGUAAGCUACUUAACAAGGUCAUUUAGUCAGAAUAUAACCAUUUAUGUUCAACGACAAACGGUUUAUUCAUCCCAAGAAUUUACCUGUAGAUUUCAAAUUCAGUUGCCUAUAUUGAUCUUCCUCUUAAGGUCAAUUUUAUUUAAAAGAGUUUAUUAAUAUUUGUUUAGAAAAUCGAGAAAUUGAUAAAUUAGUUAUUAUAGAAAGCCAAGUAUUAUCCUCACUAGAUAGAAUUAGAGGUGACUCAUCUUUAAAGAUCAAAAAGCAAAUCAUUGAGCUUUCCAUCUCUCAUUGUCAGAGUUUCUUGAUAGUUGGUAUUAAAGCCAUUUCUUAGUCUAAAAUAAUUAAUUUAUGAAAAGAAUAGACUAUUUAAAUCUAGAAAUUCUAGGAAAUUUUAGGAGAAAAGAUAGUUUAGAUACAGUCUCUUUAGUUUGUAACUUUGAUAAAAAUUUUAAACACCUUUUAAAUUCUGAAGAUAAGCAGUUAAAUAGUGCUAUAGAUUUACUUGUAAAUUUAGGAGAAAAUUUAGAAAUGAACAAUUUAAACAGAAAGGUAGUAACUUUAUUAGAAAAUAUCAAUAAAAAUAUAAAGACUUUAGAAAGUUAUUUAAAAUAUAUUAAAAACCAAAAUACCGAAAUAUUAAAAAGAAAAUUUAAUAAUAUAAGAGAAAUAGAUACUAGUCCUAACUUAGAAAAAUUGGAAAGUAGAGUUAAAGUAUUAGAAAAAGAAAAGUUAAGAGAUAAUAAACAUUUAAAUAAUAUAAUAAAUAAACUAGAAAAAUUAGAUUUAGGUAAAGCUAAAGAAUCUAGUAAAUUUAAGAAGACUAAGUGGAUUAAUACGUAAUGGAUAAAGGAAAGCAAAUUAUAGCAAGUAGCAGUAAAUUAAUAGGUAAUCCUUUAUUAAGGACAUUAAGUUGAAAAACGGAAUCCGAAACAAGAUUAAAAUCCCUAAUAGAGAUGGACGAAUAGAUAGAAACGUUUAGAUAAAAUAAACUAAAAUUAGCAAAAGAUUUAGAUGUAUAUAAAAAAGAAAAUAUGUUUAGCAUUUAAUAUAUCAACAUUAUGGUGAAAGAUAUGUUUCUUGUACAUAUGAAGAUCAAUUUAUAUCCCUCGAUUUAAUAGAAAAAGAAUCUUAUAAAAAAUUUGUUAAUAAAAAUCUUCAACAAAUUCAUUUAGGAUUAAUAAUAAUAGGAGUAAAAGGAUAUCAUAGAGAAAAUUUAGGAGCUAAAAUAUUAGUAUGUUUAUAUUAUAGCAGAUUCACAGAUAUGAAACAAGAAUUAUUAGGAAGUAUAAAAUUAGGUAUUAAUAAUAAAGGAGAAAUAGUAUAUUAUAUGCCAGAUUAUUUAGUAAUAACAAAAAAAAUGUUAUAAAGAGAUUAAAAUAGGAAUAAAAAGUAAAGGAUAUCAAAUGAAAAGAGAUGAAGAUAAUUUAUUAAUUUUUACAGGAUUCAUAGGAAGACUUAGUUUAAAUAAUACUACUAAUUAUAAAUUAGAAAAUAAUCAAAUAAUUACAUUAUUAAAACAAAAAUGUAUAAAAACUAUCUCAGUGCAGAAAUUCUCUUCAGAGAGAAAUGCAAGAUUAGAUUGAAAUUUAGGAAAUUUCUUAGAAAGACCAAUAUUAGUACCAGAAGAUAACAUCAUGUAUGAAAGUAGUAAUGGAACUUUUAAUAUUAGAUUUGAAAAUUAUAAUUAUGAAGCAGAACAAAAAAAGCACAAUGAAGGAAUGUGGAUGCUUUGAGAUAGAAAAUUAAGAAAAUGAAGAUAAAGUUAAUGUGUUAGAUGAAGACAGUGAAAAAGAUGAAAUUGAGGACGAUGAAAAAGAAUUCUAAUAUAUAGAUAUGAAGUACUAUAGAAAUCUUAGAAAGACUAGAGAAAUAGAAAUUAGAAUGUUAAUAGAAAAGACCAAGCAAACAUAGAAACCAAGAUAGAAGAAGUUAGCAAAAGAACUAAAUUUGAAACAGACCAAAAAUUCGGAAAAAGAAAAGAUCCCAUGAAUGCAAAAUAUGAUAUAAGAGGUAAAUACCCUUUUCCCCUACAAGAGAUUUUGGAUGGAAAGAUAAAAAUUAUAAAAGUUUAGAGCAUAUAACUAAAUGAGAAAAUUUUGUAAUUAUAGCAUAUAAUAGUGCACCUAUACAAAUGAUUGUAAAAGAAAUGUGGGCUUACUUAGAACUUAUAUAGGAAAGACGGCAUUAGACAUGUACGUUAUAGCAAAAAGACAAAAACAAGAAGAAAUUAGAUUAAGAAUGGCCAUAGGAGAUAAUCAUCAAUUCCAAAAUGAUGAAUAUAUGAAAAUUGUGGUUUUGAUUCUCAUGUUAUUGAGCUUUUGCGGUGGUGCAGUAAUGAUCACAACAAAAAUUUAAUUCUCCAGAUGGGGCAAAGUAAGCUUUUGUGAUGUAAUCGCCUGUCAUUUUGUUUAUUUUUUCUUCAUGCUUUUAGUACAAUAUAAUGAUCAGGAAAAUGUUACGAGUCGCUCUUAUCUAUGAUGUGUUUUCUUACAGAAAAACUUGCAGGUGAAGCAGCAGAUAAACACCAAAGGAUUCUGCUGAUGGAAAAGUUUGCGAAUUACCAAUUGAUGAAUCUACUAGAAGCCAGAAAGACAAGAAGAAGAAAGGCAAGUUAACGUGUGAAUUACUAGACAGUGAUGAAAAGCAAAUAGAUGCGAGGAUAAUAGCAACAGGACAACAUGGUAGCGACAUUUCAUCAUAUGGGAAUAAAUUCCAGGCUAAAUAAAAGAAGAGAAAGAAAGAGGCUACAGCUUCUACAGAAUCAUCUGGUUCUGGUACAGAGAUAUGUGAUAGUGAAAACUCAAUAUUUGGAAAACCUAAACAAAAUUGAUUGAGUGUAGAAGAUUGUGUUGACGAAUAUAAGAUGGCUUCCUAGAAAUGAAAAAGAUUUACUCUUGAUGAAAAUGAGAACCACCCUGUAGAAGAAGUAGCAGUUGAAGAAUUAAAGCGCAGAAAGCCUGGAGGCUUAGAAGAAUUGAAGGUUGUUGAGCAGCAAAUCACUAUCUCUAGAGCUAAUGGACUUUGCUGAGUCUCCGAAUUUUCUGUUAAGAAAGUUGAUGAAAGCACUAACGGUAAUAUCAACAGGAAUGAACUGAAAAAUUCCAGUCAACCAAAAUCUGGGAGGAGACAGCGCAACAGUUCUGCUGAGGUAUACGUUUCUGUAUAUAUUUAUCCCUUUCCAUUUCUAUUUUGUGUUUUUUCUUGUUUACCUUUUUUUAAAAGAAAAAAUAAAAACAAAUAUAAAUCAAGCAGAGCUGCUCAGCAGAAGUCAUUCUGUUAGAGGAUCUUGUUGUAAACUAAUUAAAAAGUUGAAGUGAAAAUAAAAACAGAGUCGAGGAAAAUCUGGCUGAGGCUUGAAGCUAACAUGGUGAUUAAUCAGGAGAAGGAAUUAUAAAAGAAGGGGCGAGGAAAAUCCGUGGGUACUUGAAACUGCAGGAAGAAGAAAAGUAAAAUCUUAUGAAAUAAAUGAAUCAAGUUUUCUUUUGGCCGCCCCAGUUUAUAAAUGAUUUAUAUAUUUAAUCAAAGUCAAAUAUUAAUUUCAACCACACAUACAUAACUAUUACUCAUUUAUUAUCCACACAUUUCGAGGAACACACUACUAUUCCUCUUUAUAAUGGUUCAUAAAUUUGCCAAAAGGAGGCUAAGUGAUCAAAUAGGCCUGGAUCAUUUUCCCAUAAAGACGAUAAAAAUGACUUUAAACCCAAAGCAAUGCUGAUCACCACAAUGAUUUUUGAAAGAUUUUAGCAUUCUUAGCGAUCCAUGUGCACCAUCAUAGCACAGCUCCACAUUAUUUUUGCUUCUUUACUAGUGCUACUAUCUGAAAUCUUACAAUUAAAUAAAUCAACCAAAGCUGUUUCUGGACAAUGGACUCUUUGAAGUCUAGAAUCAAUCUCAAACAUGAUUUUUCUAGUGAAAUCAUAAUGUAAGAAAAGAUGAGGUCCUGUUACGUCACCUACAUAUGAAUUAAAUGACAAAGCUCAUGGGAGCUAUGCUUUUAUGACCGAUCACUACUUGAUUUUCAUUUGGAUCAAAGUUCAUGAAGUGGCUUCAUCUUUUAUAGGAUUUGCAAUUUUUGAAUGUAAAACAUCAACUGAGUAUUAGGUGUAUAUUAUUAUACUAUUAAUAGUUCUUGUUUUAAUAUUAUGUCUUGAAAUACUGGUUUAGUUAUAGUAUACACUUUUAUGGAUUAAAAAGUUCUAGAUAUCUACUAUGGAUUUAAAAGUGAUUGUUGGGUUGAAAGCAAAAGGUGAACUGGAAAGUUGAAGUGAACGUUGAGUUUUCUUGUUUGGUUGAAUUGAACAGAAAGUGACAGGAAAAUGAAUUCAGUUUGUAGUUCAAGUACUAUAUGGCCAAAGUUUAACCUGCGUAUCAUUUUGAACAAUUAUUCAAAAAUUUGUUUCCGCAAACCAGAGGGACGAAAGUUUCUCUCUGGAAGGAAUGAAAUUGGAGUUUCCGCCAACUUUACCCUUGUACCAAACAUAUUGUUUUUGAUAUGGUUUGUAAACUAUGUGUAGUAAAACCAAGCAUAACGUUAUGAUAUAUUUUGUACAUCAUCUGUAGUAGACUAGAGUUCUCACUUAAACAAAUCUUGCAAGGGAUAUAAUAUUGCUGAAGUAAUGUUAAGAGGGAACAUGUUUUUUCCAGUAAAAUCUUUUAAGUCUAUUCUUGCCUUCAUAUGCAUCCUUUUGCUGGUGGCCGGAAGGGUGGUAGUUUCGUUUUUGUUCUCUCCUUUUUGAGUUUGAAGUUUUGACCUCUGGCUGUGGUUCUUGUGUUUUCUUUCGUUUUUCUUCUUUAACGGUUAUGUAGCAUGGACACUCUAACUAGGAUAGCGUGUCCGUGUCGGACAAGUGUCGAUACUGACACUCUUCGAAUACUCUACAAUAAUUAUUUUCCUUUCUUAUUAUAGUUAUUAUAUAUUUUUGACUCAAAAUUUUUAAUAAAUAAUAAAUAAGUACUCAUAUUUAAAAGAUUUCAACAAAAGAGAAUCAAUAAUAAGUAUAAAACUAAAUUUAAAUCAUAUAAAUGAAGAAUUUAAUGAACAUGUAGACGAUGUGUCGUGUCAAUAUUUUUUUGAAAAAUCACGAGUCGAUGUAUCCAACACGUAUCGUGUCGGACACACGUGUCCGUGUUGGUGCAUCAUAGUCUGAUGGUGUUCAAAUGUAUAUAUUUUUUCUUUUCUAUUUUGCAUAGACUAUAGACGUUGAAUACUGUUGCUAUGGUUCCAAAUUGUUUUGGGUUUCCCAAAAAUACCUUAGAGGAGUUUUCAAAACGAUAAUAAUUGAUGGUUUAUGCAGCCCAAAACAGUGAAUGCGUUUCAAAGGGUGAAAGUUGAUGAUGUGAAAUAUGUUGAUGAGAGGCUUCAAGAUGACUCUUAUUGGGCACUGGUUUGUUUUUUUUCCUUGUUAUUUUCGCAUGCUCUGGUGAAUGUAUGAAUAUUUAUUUGUGUACAUGUGACACCGAAUAUUUUAUGCACAGACAAUAAAUGUUUCCAUAAAGCAUUCUCUACCAUGUUCUCCUGUGUUUUAACAUUUAAGGUGCAUUCAAUUGUCAAUAUGUUCCAUGAAAAAUUUGUUUUUCCAUUCAAAUAUCUACUUUUUUG
RNAcentral lists this long non-coding RNA (6576 nucleotides) under Olea europaea subsp. europaea. Lineage: Eukaryota; Viridiplantae; Streptophyta; Magnoliopsida; Lamiales; Oleaceae. The record is from RNAcentral.